UAGGGAAUCUUCCGCAAUGGACGAAAGUCUGACGGAGCAACGCCGCGUGAGUGAUGAAGGCUUUCGGGUCGUAAAACUCUGUUGUUAGGGAAGAACAAGUACAAGAGUAACUGCUUGUACCUUGACGGUACCUAACCAGAAAGCCACGGCUAACUACGUGCCAGCAGCCGCGGUAAUACGUAGGUGGCAAGCGUUAUCCGGAAUUAUUGGGCGUAAAGCGCGCGCAGGCGGUUUCUUAAGUCUGAUGUGAAAGCCCACGGCUCAACCGUGGAGGGUCAUUGGAAACUGGGGAACUUGAGUGCAGAAGAGAAAAGCGGAAUUCCACGUGUAGCGGUGAAAUGCGUAGAGAUGUGGAGGAACACCAGUGGCGAAGGCGGCUUUUUGGUCUGUAACUGACGCUGAGGCGCGAAAGCGUGGGGAGCAAACA
Molecule: ribosomal RNA, 427 nt
Filed under: uncultured bacterium
Lineage: Bacteria
Also listed under: 2 other names
Description: bacterial SSU rRNA
Rfam family: Bacterial small subunit ribosomal RNA
Source: RNAcentral